RNAcentral lists this ribosomal RNA (357 nucleotides) under Triticum aestivum (bread wheat). Its description in RNAcentral is "partial small subunit ribosomal RNA". Lineage: Eukaryota; Viridiplantae; Streptophyta; Magnoliopsida; Poales; Poaceae. The record is from RNAcentral.
AUGUGUACCCCAAAGAAACAUGGUGGAAUGGGGUUAAGGGAAUUGCACUAUUUUAACUUGGCCAUGUUGACAAAACAAAUUUGGCACCUUAUAGAAGAGCCAGAAUCUCUUUGUACUAAAAUUUUAAGAGAAAAAUAUUUUUUAGACGGGGACCUACUCAAUUGUCAGUUAGAGAAGGGUAGCUCCUUUACUUGGCAAAGUCUUUGGGCUAGUUUGCAAACUUUGAAGAAAGGCUACAUUUGGAGGGUUGGUGAUGGUACAAAAAUAAAUAUCUGGGGCGACCAUUGGGUACCUUGCAGUCCAUCGAUAAGGAUCACAACUAGACUAGGUAAUAUUGUUCUGACUAAAGUUUCAUAG